Molecule: ribosomal RNA, 2074 nt
Filed under: Streptococcus pneumoniae
Lineage: Bacteria; Bacillati; Bacillota; Bacilli; Lactobacillales; Streptococcaceae
Description: bacterial LSU rRNA
Rfam family: Bacterial large subunit ribosomal RNA
Source: RNAcentral
UUAAGUUAAUAAGGGCGCACGGUGGAUGCCUUGGCACUAGGAGCCGACGAAGGACGUGACAAACGACGAUAUACCUUGGGUAGCUGUAAGUAAGCGAUGAUCCAGGGAUUUCCGAAUGGGGGAACCCAACAGGUAAUACCUGUUACCCACAUCUGUUAAGGAUGUGAGGAGGAAGACGCAGUGAACUGAAACAUCUAAGUAGCUGCAGGAAGAGAAAGCAAAAGCGAUUGCCUUAGUAGCGGCGAGCGAAACGGCAGAAGGGCAAACCGAAGAGUUUACUCUUCGGGGUUGUAGGACUGCAAUGUGGACUCAAAGAUUAUAGAAGAAUGAUUUGGGAAGAUCAGCCAAAGAGAGUAAUAGCCUCGUAUUUAAAAUAGUCUUUGUACCUAGCAGUAUCCUGAGUACGGCGGGACACGUGAAAUCCCGUCGGAAUCUGGGAGGACCAUCUCCCAACCCUAAAUACUCCCUAGUGACCGAUAGUGAACCAGUACCGUGAGGGAAAGGUGAAAAGCACCCCGGGAGGGGAGUGAAAUAGAACCUGAAACCGUGUGCCUACAACAAGUUCGAGCCCGUUAAUGGGUGAGAGCGUGCCUUUUGUAGAAUGAACCGGCGAGUUACGUUAUGAUGCGAGGUUAAGUUGAAGAGACGGAGCCGUAGGGAAACCGAGUCUGAACAGGGCGAAUUAGUAUCAUGACGUAGACCCGAAACCAUGUGACCUACCCAUGAGCAGGUUGAAGGUGCGGUAAGACGCACUGGAGGACCGAACCAGGGCACGUUGAAAAGUGCUUGGAUGACUUGUGGGUAGCGGAGAAAUUCCAAACGAACUUGGAGAUAGCUGGUUCUCUCCGAAAUAGCUUUAGGGCUAGCGUCGACAUUAGAGAUUCUUGGAGGUAGAGCACUGUUUGGGUGAGGGGUCCAUCCCGGAUUACCAAUCUCAGAUAAACUCCGAAUGCCAAUGAAUUAUGGUCGGCAGUCAGACUGCGAGUGCUAAGAUCCGUAGUCGAAAGGGAAACAGCCCAGACCACCAGCUAAGGUCCCAAAAUAAUUGUUAAGUGGAAAAGGAUGUGGGGUUGCACAGACAACUAGGAUGUUAGCUUAGAAGCAGCUAUUCAUUCAAAGAGUGCGUAAUAGCUCACUAGUCGAGUGACCCUGCGCCGAAAAUGUACCGGGGCUAAAACAAUUUACCGAAGCUGUGGAUACCUUUAUAGGUAUGGUAGGAGAGCGUUCUAUGUGUGAUGAAGGUAUACCGUGAGGAGUGCUGGAACGCAUAGAAGUGAGAAUGCCGGUAUGAGUAGCGAAAGACAGGUGAGAAUCCUGUCCACCGUAAGACUAAGGUUUCCAGGGGAAGGCUCGUCCGCCCUGGGUUAGUCGGGACCUAAGGAGAGACCGAAAGGUGUAUCCGAUGGACAACAGGUUGAUAUUCCUGUACUAGAGUAUGUAGUGAUGGAGGGACGCAGUAGGCUAACUAAAGCAGACGAUUGGAAGAGUCUGUCUAAGCAGUGAGGUGUGAAUUGAGUCAAAUGCUUAAUUCUAUAACAUUGAGCUGUGAUGGGGAGCGAAGUUUAGUAGCGAAGUUAGUGACGUCACACUGCCAAGAAAAGCUUCUAGCGUUUAAACAUACUCUACCCGUACCGCAAACCGACACAGGUAGUCGAGGCGAGUAGCCUCAGGUGAGCGAGAGAACUCUCGUUAAGGAACUCGGCAAAAUGACCCCGUAACUUCGGGAGAAGGGGUGCUGACUUUAGGUCAGCCGCAGUGAAUAGGCCCAAGCAACUGUUUAUCAAAAACACAGCUCUCUGCUAAAUCGUAAGAUGAUGUAUAGGGGGUGACGCCUGCCCGGUGCUGGAAGGUUAAGAGGAGUGCUUAGCGUAAGCGAAGGUAUGAAUUGAAGCCCCAGUAAACGGCGGCCGUAACUAUAACGGUCCUAAGGUAGCGAAAUUCCUUGUCGGGUAAGUUCCGACCCGCACGAAAGGCGUAAUGAUUUGGGCACUGUCUCAACGAGAGACUCGGUGAAAUUUUAGUACCUGUGAAGAUGCAGGUUACCCGCGACAGGACGGAAAGACCCCAUGGAGCU